RNAcentral lists this unclassified non-coding RNA (365 nucleotides) under Acacia olsenii. Its description in RNAcentral is "partial external transcribed spacer". The record is from RNAcentral. Lineage: Eukaryota; Viridiplantae; Streptophyta; Magnoliopsida; Fabales; Fabaceae.
GUGCCCGUCCACUGAACGGUCGGCAGGYGAUCCGCGUCGGUCGCGCUGGGUGGUAUGGUUCCCCAGAGGCCGGUUCUUGUGCUGCCUACCCCUUCAGGGGAAGAGUUCCAAACUUGAUGUAAGCCUCCAUCCGGCGCCCUCCAAAGGGCGCGGGAGGACAACRGAGCACCCCCCGCGUUCCACCGAGCCUCCUCGGUCGCGUGGCCCGCGGGGACGUGCGAUGCUCUCGGACCCAGCGAACGCCGUGGGCGAGGACUCACGUCCCGGUCCCAAGUGAAGCAACGGUAUAACGCACGACGGCCGCUCCCGCCCCMCGACCGCCCCGGCGGCGCGGGGGCGAAGGCGCGGCGUCGCUGAGGAAUGCU